Molecule: ribosomal RNA, 450 nt
Filed under: uncultured bacterium
Lineage: Bacteria
Description: partial 16S ribosomal RNA
Rfam family: Bacterial small subunit ribosomal RNA
Source: RNAcentral
CCUACGGGAGGCUGCAGUGGGGAAUUUUCCACAAUGGGCGAAAGCCUGAUGGAGCAACGCCGCGUGUGUGAUGAAGGUCUUCGGAUCGUAAAGCACUUUCGACUGGGACGAAACACCCUUGGCUAACACUCAAGGGCUUGACGGUACCAGGAGAAGAAGCACCGGCUAACUCUGUGCCAGCAGCCGCGGUAAUACAGAGGGUGCAAGCGUUGUUCGGAAUUAUUGGGCGUAAGCAUGGCAAGUCGGGUGUGAAAGCCCUCAGCUUAACUGAGGAAGUGCGCCCGAAACUGCUGUGCUUGAGUGCCGGAGAGGAUGGCGGAAUUCCCCAAGUAGAGGUGAAAUUCGUAGAUAUGGGGAGGAACACCGGUGGCGUAGGCGGCCAUCUGGACGGUAACUGACGCUGAGACGCGAAAGCGUGGGUAGCAAACAGGAUUAGAUACCCCUGUAGUC